AGUCCACUUAAGCCCUGCUUAGUAUUGGGAAUCUACCGAAGCUACCCUGUAGCUACCCUGUAGUUCCUUAAAGACAUCGGCGGAGUUGUGAUAUCUCUGAGCUUAGUAAAUAUUCAAAGCUUCUGGGCCAUCAUAUCCCCUGCCGUUAAACCUUCUACAUCUGUAGAAUUUUAAU
RNAcentral lists this unclassified non-coding RNA (175 nucleotides) under uncultured Xylariales. Its description in RNAcentral is "sequence contains ITS2". The record is from RNAcentral. Lineage: Eukaryota; Fungi; Ascomycota; Sordariomycetes; Xylariales.